UACGUAGGGUGCAAGCGUUAAUCGGAAUUACUGGGCGUAAAGCGUGCGCAGGCGGUUUUGUAAGUCUGAUGUGAAAUCCCCGGGCUCAACCUGGGAAUUGCAUUGGAGACUGCAAGGCUAGAAUCUGGCAGAGGGGGGUAGAAUUCCACGUGUAGCAGUGAAAUGCGUAGAGAUGUGGAGGAACACCGAUGGCGAAGGCAGCCCCCUGGGUCAAGAUUGACGCUCAUACACGAAAGCGUGGGGAGCAAACAGG
This 253-nucleotide ribosomal RNA is filed under the name uncultured bacterium. RNAcentral's name for it is "partial 16S ribosomal RNA". It matches the Rfam family "Bacterial small subunit ribosomal RNA", at positions 524 to 776 of the family's 1533-position model. The record is from RNAcentral.